AUCACCAGGUUUGAUUCUGCCUGACGUGGGCGCUAGUCUCACAGAUUUAGCCAUGCAUGUGUAAGCGAAGCUUUUAGUGGAGCGGUGAAAGGCUCAGUAGCGGGCGAUUUAUUUGUUCUCCUGUGACGGACAACAUCGGGAAACUGAUGGGAAAACGUCUAAGUUGCAGUUAAUUGAUUGUGACGUAAACGAUAUUGUGCAGGAGAGUAAGAUGCCAUCCUAUCAGUUAGUAAGUAGGGUAAGGGCCUACUUAGACGAAGACGGGUACGGGGAAUGAGGGUUUGAUUCCGGAGAGGGAGCCUGAGAGAUGGCUACCAGGACCAAGGUCAGCAGCAGGCGCGAAAAUUAUCGAAGCCCGCCUAGGGGCGAUAGUGAGGAGACGUGUAUAACGAAGUACGUGUAAAGAACGUGCUAAUAACUGGAGGUCAAGUCUGGUGCCAGCAUCCGCGGUAAUUCCAGCUCCAGGGGUGUCUAUGAUGAUUGCUGCGAUUAAAAAGUCCGUAGUCAAUCUGACUGACUGGCCUGCAAUGUGAUUGAUUAAAGAACGAGCAGGGUUAGGAAAGCAGAGAAUCAGGAGCGACCGAGGGCUAGAGUAUUGAAUGGCGAGAGGUGAAAUUUGAUGACCCAUUCAGGAGUGACAAAGGCGAAGGCACUAGUCAAGGGCGAAUCCGAUGAUCAAGGACGUAGGCUAGAGUUUCGAAAACGAUUAGAGACCGGAGUAGUUCUAGCAGUAAACUAUGCCGACGCCGUGGUAUCGUUUUGGUAUUGCGGAAGAGAAAUCAAGUAAGGCUUUGGGGAGAGUACGCGCGCAAGCGAUAAAUUAAAGGAAAUGACGGAG
Molecule: ribosomal RNA, 838 nt
Filed under: Dictyocoela sp.
Lineage: Eukaryota; Fungi; Microsporidia
Description: SSU rRNA
Rfam family: Microsporidia small subunit ribosomal RNA
Source: RNAcentral